RNAcentral lists this transfer RNA (75 nucleotides) under Deltaproteobacteria bacterium. RNAcentral describes it as "tRNA-Val". It matches the Rfam family "tRNA". From Rfam's summary of the family: Transfer RNA (tRNA) molecules are approximately 80 nucleotides in length. Their secondary structure includes four short double-helical elements and three loops (D, anti-codon, and T loops). Lineage: Bacteria; Pseudomonadati; Myxococcota; Myxococcia. The record is from RNAcentral.
UGGCUCGUAGCUCAGUGGUAGAGCACUACCUUGACACGGUAGGGGUCGCUGGUUCGAUACCAGUCGAGCCAACCA